Molecule: ribosomal RNA, 471 nt
Filed under: uncultured bacterium
Lineage: Bacteria
Description: bacterial SSU rRNA
Rfam family: Bacterial small subunit ribosomal RNA
Source: RNAcentral
UGGGGAAUUGUUCGCAAUGGGCGCAAGCCUGACGACGCAACGCCGCGUGGAGGAUGAAGGUCUUCGGAUUGUAAACUCCUGUUGAUCGGGACGAAAAGCUUCAACCUAAUACGUUGAAGACUGACGGUACCGGUUGAGGAAGCCACGGCUAACUCUGUGCCAGCAGCCGCGGUAAUACAGAGGUGGCAAGCGUUGUUCGGAAUUACUGGGCGUAAAGGGCGCGUAGGCGGCCUCCUAAGUCGGACGUGAAAGCCCCAGGCUUAACCUGGGAACUGCGUCUGAUACUGGGAGGCUUGGAUUCGGGAGAGGGAUGUGGAAUUCCAGGUGUAGCGGUGAAAUGCGUAGAUAUCUGGAGGAACACCGGUGGCGAAGGCGGCAUCCUGGACCGAGAUCGACGCUGAGGCGCGAAAGCUAGGGGAGCAAACGGGAUUAGAUACCCGUGUAGUCCCUGAGCGGGCUGGCAAGGCGCAU